GAUGAACGCUGGCGGCGUGCCUAAUACAUGCAAGUCGAGCGAACAGACGAGGAGCUUGCUCCUCUGACGUUAGCGGCGGACGGGUGAGUAACACGUGGAUAACCUACCUAUAAGACUGGGAUAACUUCGGGAAACCGGAGCUAAUACCGGAUAAUAUAUUGAACCGCAUGGUUCAAUAGUGAAAGACGGUUUUGCUGUCACUUAUAGAUGGAUCCGCGCCGCAUUAGCUAGUUGGUAAGGUAACGGCUUACCAAGGCAACGAUGCGUAGCCGACCUGAGAGGUUGAUCGGCCACCCUGGAACUGAGACACGGUCCAGGCUCUUACUGGAGGCAGCAGGAGGGAAUCUUCCGCAAUGGGCGAAAGCCUGACGGAUCAACGCCGCGUGAGUGAUGAAGGUCUUCGGAUCGUAAAACUCUGUUAUUAGGGAAGAACAAUUGUGUAAGUAACUAUGCACGUCUUGACGGUACCUAAUCAGAAAGCCACGGCUAACUACGUG
RNAcentral lists this ribosomal RNA (497 nucleotides) under uncultured bacterium. RNAcentral describes it as "partial 16S ribosomal RNA". It matches the Rfam family "Bacterial small subunit ribosomal RNA", at positions 28 to 507 of the family's 1533-position model. The record is from RNAcentral.